CUGUCCACCUUCCUUUGUCACCUUCUUCAUUUUUAGAAACCUCCAAGCCUUGACACCUUUUAAUCAAAUGAUGUUGCAUCAUUUUUGUGCAAAUACAUCUCUUUCUUUGCUCUUCUGCAUUUGUGCUCGAUAACCUGCAAAUCUUUAAUGUCUCAGUCAAAAAUCUCACCAAUUCGGGCAAGAACAGAGGAAAUCACGUGAAUCCGUCCAAACCUCCAACGUUCGGAUUCAAACGGAUAUGUUAACCGAAAUUUAAAAUUUGAAUUUGAAAAAUCCCUCUCAAGAACCCUAACUUCUAUCUAUAAAUACCGGCUCUGAAACUCAUUUAAGGGGAGCCCUAGAGCCGCCCACUUUUACCCCAAAGUCGAGAGUUUUCAGCCACCUCUAUUAAUGCAUUUCCUUUUCCUCUAAUUAAAAAACAAAGUUCUCUAGCUCUCUUUGUAUUUUUAGCCAUUACAAUGGUUUAUUUGCUUAUUCUGGCGACUACCGAUCGUCUAAGGUAGAGAGUUCGAAGUCGGAGUUCAAUAGUGCAUCUAAGACCCCGCCUCGGUUCGCUGCCCGCAAAAAGGCUUGAUCGACAAAGUGACGAAAUGUCAAAGAUCGGCUCAAAGGAGUGAAACCUGCUCAAGUACCAAAGAAAAGGCAAACUCAGGACAAAAAGGCCUAGUGCGGUCGCACUACACUUUGUGCAGUCCGCACUAGGGGAUUCAGAGAAGUAGCAAAUUAAGCUUCAAGGCAGUGCUGGCUGCAUCCGAUCUUGCGCACUCCGCACUGAAGGCUUCGCGACCGCACUACUAUUUUGUGCAGUCCGCGGAGGAGAAGAUUAGAGAGAUGUCCAGUGCCAACAUCAAACCCAUGUGGUACGCGGUCAUGUUUGUGCGGACUGCGCUAGUUGCCUCCGCGGCCGUGGUUCGCGGAGCCUGAGUUUAGAGAGCCAAGACCUAGUGCGGCCGCAGUCCAUUUUGUGCGGUCCUGAGUUUAGAGAAUGAAGUUGUGCUCGUGAGAAGCUGUGUAGCCAUUUUUGGCAUCUUAACUUAGAUUUAACAAUAGAUUCUCUGUAAAUACAUUAGCUUUUAAUUAAUUUCUUCAUCUAUUUUUUUAUUUUCUUCU
Non-coding RNA from Nicotiana tabacum (common tobacco), 1110 nucleotides. NCBI's taxonomy places the organism in Eukaryota, Viridiplantae, Streptophyta, Magnoliopsida, Solanales, Solanaceae. The record is from RefSeq and is a predicted model, not a curated record.